RNAcentral lists this ribosomal RNA (497 nucleotides) under uncultured bacterium. Its description in RNAcentral is "partial 16S ribosomal RNA". It matches the Rfam family "Bacterial small subunit ribosomal RNA", at positions 28 to 507 of the family's 1533-position model. The record is from RNAcentral.
GAUGAACGCUGGCGGCGUGCCUAAUACAUGCAAGUCGAGCGAACGGACGAGAAGCUUGCUCCUCUGAUGUUAGCGGCGGACGGGUGAGUAACACGUGGAUAACCUACCUAUAAGACUGGGAUAACUUCGGGAAACCGGAGCUAAUACCGGAUGAUAUUUUGAACCGCAUGGUUCAAAAGUGAAAGACGGUCUUGCUGUCACUUAUAGAUGGAUCCGCGCUGCAUUAGCUAGUUGGUAAGGUAACGGCUUACCAAGGCAACGAUGCAUAGCCGACCUGAGAGGGUGAUCGGCCACACUGGAACUGAGACACGGUCCAGACUCCUACGGGAGGCAGCAGUAGGGAAUCUUCCGCAAUGGGCGAAAGCCUGACGGAGCAACGCCGCGUGAGUGAUGAAGGUCUUCGGAUCGUAAAACUCUGUUAUUAGGGAAGAACAUAUGUGUAAGUAACUGUGCACAUCUUGACGGUACCUAAUCAGAAAGCCACGGCUAACUGCGUG